AGAGUUUGAUUAUGGCUCAGGAUCAACGCUGGCGGCGUGCCUAAUGCAUGCAAGUCGCACGGAGACUUCGGUUUCAGUGGCGAACGGCUGAGGAACACGUACGAACCUACCCGCUCGUGGGGAAUAACGCAGCGAAAGUUGCGCUAAUACCGCGUACGCUUGGGCAACCAAGGAAAGCCGCAAGGUGCGGGCGGAAGGGCGUGCGGCCCAUCAGGUAGUUGGCGGGGUAAUGGCCCACCAAGCCGUCGACGGGUAGCUGGUCUGUGAGGACGAUCAGCCAGACUGGGACUGCGACACGGCCCAGACACCUACGGGUGGCAGCAGCAAGGAAUCUUCCGCAAUGGGGGCAACCCCGACGGAGCAACGCCGCGUGCAGGAUGACGGCCUUCGGGUUGUAAACUGCUUUGAGGGGGGACGAGAUGGACGGUACCCCCAAAACCAGCCCCGGCUAACUCUGUGCCAGCAGCCGCGGUAAUACAGAGGGGGCAAGCGUUGUCCGGAAUGACUGGGCGUACAGGGUGCGCAGGUGGUGUGGUAGGUGACGUGUGACAGCGGACGGCUCAACCGUGCGUGGCCGCGACAAACCGCCAGACUCGAGACCUGGAGAGGGAAGUGGAAUUCCCGGUGGAGCGGUGAAAUGCGUAGAGAUCGGGAGGAACACCAGGGGCGAAGGCGGCUUCCUGGCCAGGAACUGACACUGAGGCACGAAAGCGUGGGGAGCAAACGGGAUUAGAUACCCCGGUAGUCCACGCUGUAAACGAUGUGGAGCCGGUGCGCGUGGGGGAUUGGCCCUGGGCGUGCCUGAGCAUACGCGAUGACUCCACCGCCUGGGGACUACGGUCGCAAGACUAAAACUCAAAUGAAUUGACGGGG
Molecule: ribosomal RNA, 873 nt
Filed under: uncultured Chloroflexota bacterium
Lineage: Bacteria; Bacillati; Chloroflexota
Description: bacterial SSU rRNA
Rfam family: Bacterial small subunit ribosomal RNA
Source: RNAcentral